Molecule: long non-coding RNA, 3912 nt
Filed under: Homo sapiens (human)
Lineage: Eukaryota; Metazoa; Chordata; Mammalia; Primates; Hominidae
Description: HSALNT0330361
Source: RNAcentral
AUGACAUUUUCUAACAAGCCUGGGGCACCUCCUCCCUCCCCACCUCAUGGGUCCCUCUCUCAUUUUAAAAGCCCUCCCAGGACUUCAAGAUGAAACACUUCCACACUGGGCAGAGAUUCUCAUUGAAUUCUCCAGUUCGCUGUCUCCAGUGCUGAGGAGAGACAUUUUAAUUAAUUAUAGUCCCAUGGGCUCGGGGAUCAAUAGCAGUGAAGAGCCGUGGAAUGAAUUCCAGCCUCUGUGCUGUUUCCAGCUCUCCCUGUGACCUUGUACCAGUCGCUCAAGCUCUCUGGGCCUUGGUUUCCUCUUCUCUAGAAUGGGAAUAUUCAUUUCACAGGCAUAAUGAGAAUCUUCAAAAAGGUAUGGCGAUCAAAGUGUUGUAAAAUGUAGAGUGCUAACCACAAGUAAGUUAUUAUUAAGGUGGUAUUUAUAUUCCCAAAGGGUAAGCAUGAGUGGUGUUUCUCUUCUGAGCCAUUUCUAGAACCUUCUUGCUUUUUGUUAAUACGUUAAAACCACCUGGCAGCUUCCAUUUUCCUUUCUGAGUCUGAGAAGCAAGCAGCCCAGACAGAAUUGGGGGGAGAGGGUGUAGAUGGGAAGAAGUUCCUGUUCUGUAAGCCCCAAGUUUCUCCAGCAAGGAAAAGGUAAUCAUACCUGUGGGACCUGGAAUAAGAAGACAGAAGCCUUGGCUUUCCCCGAGAGUCAGUGCUGUUCGCCACACUGGCCACCUCUAGUGCUGAGUCUUUGUUUAUUGAAGCCUCUUCUUCUGUUUUCCUGUGUCCUUUUCCCUGCAGUGUAUUCUGCACACAGCAACCAGAGUGAUCUUUCCAAAACACAUCUGGUCAUGUCCUUACCCUGCCCAGAGCCCUCCCCCGGCUCCCCUAGACUUUAGGAUAAAAUCCAGCUUCUUGCUAUGGCUGCUCAGGCCCUGCUGCUCCGGCCUCUGACCGCAUCUGUAGUCGUAGUCCCCUGCUCUCCCACCUGCUCGCCUUUGGCUCCCAAUGUAGCUCAUCUACUCCCCGACAUGUGCUCUACCUGGGUCCCCAGGCCUUAAUGUGCCAGUCUGGGCCUCCCUGGCCAGGUCCUCCACGUGCUUCAGGUGUCUACUGAGACAUCAUCUCCCCCAGCAAGCCUUCCCUGACCACCCUGCCCUCCUCAGCCUGAGUGGGUUCCUGUGGUGUCCUGUGCUUAUGGAUGUCUUGGUCCUAACCGUAUCCCAGGACAGUCAUCCAUGUCCUUGGUGGCCUCCCCUCACCUACCCUACAGAUGCAUGAGCUCCUUUCAGGCUGUGCCUGUGUGACCAGUUUACUGUUCUAUCCUCCAGCGUCUAGCACACCUCCUGCCACACAAUGCAUGCCAAAUAAUGGAUGGAAGAAUGGACAUGGGCUGUUACCACCAGAUUGAAAAACCUGCACAUACUAGAAUCACCUGGGCACUCUCCCAGCCAACGGCUUCGGCUUCCUGGUGCCACCUUAGUCCUCCAGAUUCAGCAUUUCUAUGGGUGGGCCGGGGAAUCUGCAUGUUUAACAAGCACACGCCCAGGAAGUGCUUAGCCUCCAAGUAUGGGCUACUUAUUUUUUAACAAUUACUUUCACUCCAAGACGUACAUAAUUUUUUAAACAUGGGAAUCCCUGAUGUUUCAUUUUUGUUUUGGAAAUGAUUUUUAGAGAAGAUGAAUUAUCCUGUCUGAUGCCAUGAGAUCUAUUUUUAUCAUUUGGGAUGUUGAGACUAAAACUGACAACAUAUUUAGUAUUGCUUAUAGUACUCAGUGACACUGCCUCCCUUUGAAGCCCGCCAGAGAGCCACCAUGCAGGAACAUGAGUUACUAAUUAAUUCAACCUGCUCACUGGGACAAAAUGGGAAGGAAGAACCCACAUUUGACACAGAUAAAGUGGAGCAUGUUCAAAGCGCCAGGACACCAAGGGAUCAGGAAAUUAUGUCUCAAGGGAAGGGCUGAAGAAACUGCACAUUUAGGUUUCCAUGGAGGAAACUCAGUGGCUGUAAAUGCCAGAAGUGCUGAAAUAGGGGUGGGUAGGCUUGCAAGGAAAGUAGACCUGGACCUGAGGGUGGAAGUUACCAGGACAGACCUUCCGCUGGAAUAUGUGAAAGAACUUCCAAGCAAAUGGAAUCCUGCAAAUAAGCAUCCUUAAAAGGGAGUUCCCACAGCAAGAGAAAUGUUCAAAGCUGGAGCCAUCUGAUGGGGCUGUCACAGAAUGUCCUGGGUGAGGAGUGGUCUGGACUAGAAGAAGUCCAGGUACCUUUCUGACAGACUCUGGGGUGAACACAAAUGGCCACAGGACCAAGCCAGUGACCUGAAUGAGUCAGUCAUUACUCAGCUCCAGCCAAUUGCUUGGGAAUGUGGGUCCAGCAAGGCCAGAUCCUUCUUCUGAUUUUUCAAGAAAAGACAGACUUGUGGAUUUUUAAAAAUAUGGACUGUCCUGAGUUUUAAAUAUCAUGCAGGCCAAAUAAAGCCAUCUGUGCCUGCAGGGUCUUGAUUGUGACCUGCCAGUUUGACCCCUCUGUUCCAGGAUUCUCAGGGUUAUGUGCACUUUUGUCCUUCACAAGUAAGAUAAAUGAAAUAGGUAGGGAUUUUCCUCCUAUUCAACAGAUGGGCAAGUCAGGACACCGGGAGGUUAAGGGACUUCUAGAUAGACGCACUCUUAUAAUAUAAGGUAAUGUUAUAACAGACAAGGGCUAGAAUCAGGGUACGUGGGUGAAUAGGUAGUUAUGUCCCUCGGCUGCUCCACUGACAUUUCAUUUUUUAGCUCUUCUCUUAAAAUAAUAUUUGCUGAAGGGAGCACUGGGAAGGCCCCAUCCUUCCUAUAUGACUGGAGCAGGGAAUUCUGCCUCCCAGGGGCUCUGGGGUGAGGGGUAUCCUCCCUGCACCGCUCCGGGGGUUAGGGUGCCCCUGAGUUGUGCCUUACUGAGUCUGCACAUCCUGCACAGAGCUCCUGCCUGGAGCCAUUCUAAAACUCAGCCGCUCCUAUUCCCCAAGGAUCUGUGUCUUUAGGCCUCCAGCCAUGCCUGAAAUUUCACCAUUAUAAGCCUGCUUUUGGGUGAAGGCUUCACAGGCACCCAGGAAUCACUUUCACAGUGAACACAGGAAAAGGAAAAAAAACCACAGGAAUGCAACCUGACAUCUCUCUCAGGCUCUAAGUAUUGGACUGCCAGGACUUGGGUACUGAAGAAAUUAGUUUUGCCACGAAGGCAACCUCAAAAAGCCAGUCAUCUUCAAGCCACAUUUACAGCACUCCGCAGUGCGACUUGAGGCCUGUCUGCCUAGCUUCCUGCUUCUUGGCCUUCCUGCCACUCUUUAUGCUGACACCGCGCUUACAGUAGCAGCUUUCAGACCAACUUGAGGCCUUGCUUACUUUGCCAGUGGACUGCCUGCUUGUUUUUUAAAGGAUUUUUUUUUUAAGUAUUGGUACUUUUUUUUCCGUGAAGCUUAGUUGAAGUAUAUUUGAAUUACAAUAAACUGCACAUUUUAAAAGUGUGCAACUUGAUCAAUUUUAACAUAUAUAUAAACCUGUGAAGCCAUCAUCACAGUCAAGAGAAUGAACCUUUCUAUCACCUCCAAAAGGUUCUUUGUGCCCCUUUGUUACCCAUUCCUCUCUGUGUCCCCUAAUAACCACCUGCCUGCUUUUUGUCUUUCUGGAUGAGUUUACAUUUUCUAGAAAUUUGUAUUGAAGGAAUAAUAUAGUAUGUGUUCCUUUUUGCCUGUUUUUUUUUUUUUUACUCAGCAUGAUGCUUUUUGACAUUCAUCCAUGUUCUUGUGUGUAUCAACAGUGCAUUCUUUAUUGCUGAGUAGUAGACCAUUACAUGGAUAGACUAAUUCAUUUAUUCAUUUACCUGUUGAUGGACAUUUGGAUUGUUUCUAGCUUUGGGUUAUUACAAAUAAAGCUGUUAUAAACAUUUGUA